AACUUGAGAAAGUAGAAGCCAUUAAAAAAUUAGAGAAUACUUUACUUAAAUACAUAAAAACGUCAGAUGGAAAUAAAAAUAAUUCUUUAAAAAAUAUAUUGUUCAUGAAGAUAUGGCUAAGUGCGACAAAGAUGAGACUGACUGUGAGAGGAUAAUGAUGAAAAUGAACGAUGAAUUAGAAAAAUUGGUGUGUGUAGAAAAUAAUUGUUCUGAUGAAAAGGAAGCAAUUCCGUCUAUGUCUUCAGCUUUAAAUUUAAUUGAAAUAGAAGAUCCUUCAAGUUGGCCUAAAACUAUAGACAAAAUAAGGAUUGCU
This 313-nucleotide long non-coding RNA is filed under the name Androctonus crassicauda. Lineage: Eukaryota; Metazoa; Arthropoda; Arachnida; Scorpiones; Buthidae. The record is from RNAcentral.